UAUAAAAAGACAUAUGAUUCGUAAAUUUUACAUCUUAAUCGAACGGUGUUAGUAUAGCUAACUUUAUAGCAGAGUAAACAGAUAAUUCGAUAAUGUUUAUUGAAUGUUUUUUGAUUUUCCUACAAAUAUUGCAUCAGUCAUUUUGUGAAUCUUCAAGUUGCAAAUGGCCUCCUGAAUAUUUGGGUAUGUAAUACGUUAUCAUUGGUUCGAUUAGUAUAAUAAUUUAUGAGAUUUUUUUUUAACCAUUUAAGCGAGAGUAGUUGAUCGAUGUUCAAAUCAAUUAAAAUAAAUAAAAAAAGAUACAAAGCAACCUACAAAACAUUCAAUCCUCUGUCAUAAAGUGCAUUGAAUUUAAUAUCCAUUGAUGAAGAAAAUGUGCCGUCCUUUAUACAUAACACAAAAGAUUCUCUAUUAACAUUCUAAGAAUGUCGAUAAAUAAAAAAGAAAAAAGUACUAGUUUUUUAUCUUUUUUUCUUUUGUGUCUGCAUAUUUUUCUUAUCAUUUGCAUUGAUAAAUAGUUCUCCUUUUGGUUCCGUUAUGGUUUCAAUGUUCCAUUAAAAUAAACAAUCUGUGACUUGGGUUGAGAGUUGUCUCCUUGGCACUCAUACCACCUCUUAUAUCUACAGAGGCAGAAAAAUGAGAUUUUGUAGAUGAAGGUGUCAUACGUACAAAGGAAGGGAAACAGAAUGAAAAGAACGAUUCAUAUCCCGAACAGUUUUGAGUCAUUAGAGGUGGGGGUUACAAAAAUAUGUCAAACUAAGUCGGAAAACAAAUCAGUGGGGAAAGGCGACUAAAGGUUUCAGACCUCCAAUUAAAAACCCCUAUCUGUUCAACCAAUUUUGCAAUUUUCACAUCUUUCUAAAUAUUUUACCUCAAGUUUAACUUCAUUGAAACCAGGUUUAUCCUGAAUUUUACAUGUAUCACCUUACUACAUGCCAAUUUUCAAACCAUAUUUAAAAUCUUCUAAGAAAUUAUUGCCUUUGAGAAAAUAACUACUCAAAAAAAAAAAGAAACCUGGUUUUCUGGAAAUCUUAAAUUAGUAUACUAUGUAACGCAUUAAUCCUGAAUUUUUAAUGGCAACUCAUAGACAAGGGAUUUUUUUUGCUAAAAUGGUCUAGAUGUAUUUGUCUUUCACUAAAAGCUGUAUUUCUGCAAGUUUGUUGGUUAGUUUAAGUAAACAAUCACAUCAAAAGCACUAUUUUGUGUCAGAGUAGGGCUACUUUUACAUACGUUAUAAAUUUUAGAGGGUAAUUGGUGGUCUGACACAUAAAAGAUGAUCUUGAUCUGCAGAUAAGCUAACCAGUGUUUGUGGAAGCAUGUAUAAUGUAUGCCGAAGACGGUUUUGUAAGACAAAUAAAACGUAUUAAUCUUACAUGUUUGUAAUAUUAAGUUACUCUUCUCUUCAAGUAUACAUCACACAAUUUUGUGUGAACAACUUAAUAAUAAAUUAUAUAUAAAAUUAAUUAUUAGCAAUGUUUUCGUGAUAUCAAGUAGCUUUAAUGUUGUUUUAUUCUUGAGAUGAAACCUGCUUUGUAAGAAAAGAUGCAAUCUUAACAUGUCUUUUUUGCGUAAACAGUUAUCAUCUUCAGCAAUUGGUUAGGCCAAAAUAAACCCGAACGGUCCAAACUGGGUGUACUUGGUUAUGCUAAGCAGAGAGACAGCUAAUCGUUAAGCUUUUUUUAACAGAAAAUGCGUCACGUCUCACUAUAUGUAUAUAUGAGACAAGCAUGACUGUACUUAGUCGUUUUUUUCUUUCUUAAAAACUGUUACGAUAUCAGAUAAAUAGAUAAAUGAGUGGUGUGAGCAAUUUCUUCGAUAUGACAUGACUGUACUUAGUCGUUUUUUUCUUUCUUAAAAACUGUUACGAUAUCAGAUAAAUAGAUAAAUGAGUGGUGUGAGCAAUUUCUUCGAUAUGACAUGAAAAGAACAAGUUACUAGUAUAUUUGACAAAUUAAAUGUGUCCUGCUUAGUAAGUACUAAAGACGUCACAGUUAGACCAUCGCAUUUCAGCGUACACACCAACGUACUGCAGCGUAUCUAACAACAAGUAAGUGUCACAAUGUCACCAUUGCACUUCAGCCAGUUAACCAACGCACUUCAGCGUGGACCAUCGUACUUAAGCGUGACCAUCGCGGUUCGGAGUACCAUCGCGGUUCCGAGUCCUGCAUAUGUAUUAGAUGUUGAAUUAUAAAAAUUAGAUGAUUUACAGUUAUUUGAAAUAUCUGAUGGCAAAUACUAAUGCAAUGAUUUGUGUUACCAAACAAAAGCUAACACAAUGUAAGCAUUUUUUUCUUCUGAUUUUUUGCAAAUCUUGCGUCCCAUUAUCGAAAAAGCGAUGUCUGAUUUUGAUUUAAUUGAUGGAUCUAAUUUAACACACAAAAUGUUUAAAUAUAUUUACCCUUAGAGUAUUCAAAUGUUGUUCAUCUAGAGGCACGAUGGCAAACACCAGUGCAAAGCCAAAAAAUAUACAAAAAAAUAAACAAAAUAUAUAUUGAAAUAAACGAAUAGUUGGAUACACGAUAUAAGAUGUUGUAUCAGGUCAAAUAUCAAUAGGUACAGUUUUUAUAUAAAUGGUAGUAUGUGUCAUACUGUAUAUGCGAAAUAUAAAAUUCUAGGCAAUACAAUAAUUGUACUUUCUCAUAUCAUGAUACUCUUAUGUUUUCCCUUGCAUGUAUCGAUGUUCUACACAUAAAACAAACAUGUAAUAAUUGCAAACUGUGUAUGAUGCUUACAUUCCUGUGCAAGUUACUAUAUACUCAUUUAUUUCAAGUAUAAAUUUGUGUUAUUUAUAGUUUUCAAUUGAUUAACGAAAUCAUUUUCAAAAACAUCGGAAAAUCAGUUACUUUUACUUAACUAUAAAAACGACAUUACACUAUUUAAUUAUAUAGGUGCUCAACUGCAAACAGCUUUGGUAAAUACAUAUAUAUCAUUUCAACACUACAUCAUGUUCAUAUAAAAACACAUUUACAAAUGUUUUUUACGAUUAAUACUUAUGUCGACAUAUGCAGUCAUUGUCUUUUAUCUAUGGUUUGUGUUUAAUUUAUCUACUUUACCGGAUACGUUUAUAUAAAGACGUCCGAUACGGAAAGAUCAAUAUCGUAAUCCACCAGUAUCAUUAAAAGAGGGACACAAGAUACCAGAGAGACAGUCAAACUCAUAAAUCAAAAAUAAACUGACAACGCCAUGGCUAAAAUUGAAAAAAGGACAAACAGACAAACAAUAUUACAAAUGACACAACAUAGAACACUAAAGAAUAAACAACACGUACCCCACCAAAAACCAAGGGUGAUCUCAGGUGCUCCGGAAGGGUAAGCAGAUCCUGCUCCACAUGUGGCACCUGUCGUGUUGCUUAUGAGAUAAAAAGUCCGGUAAAUAGUCUAAUUCGGUAGGUUACAUUUAUGAAACGGAAGGGGAUUGUAGUUACGACGUAAGGAACAUAUCCGAUAUCAUUUGUGAAACAAUUAUUCCAUAACGGUCAACCAACUCGUGAUGGCGUCCGUGGUGGCAUUAAUGAUCACUUUACAGUUACAGUUAGGUAACUUGGUGUGUAUUUCCGAAACGACUUAUGUGAAUAAAAUUAGUAUAUCACUGUUGUUUUUAGUUAACAUGUUUGUAUACAGUAUGCAUGUAUGUUCCUUUUAUCAAAUUAUAUUUGUACAUUAUAUUUUGGGUUAAGUGUUAAUAACAUAAACGGUAUCAAUUUUUCCAAACCAGAUAUGCAUUUAGAAAAUCAAUAUCUUUUCAGAUUUGCUCGAGGCUAACAUAUUUCAAAAUCUAAAGAUUAUUAAAAGGAUGAAGAGCUACAAACAAAAAUGAUUAUAUGAUAUUAACGUAUAUAACAAUAAAUUAUUAAGAUAUACGACCAUAUUUAACAAUAUAUUAUUAAGAUAUAAGACCGUAUUUAACAUAUAUUUAUCUUUACUUAAAUUGUUCAAGCAUAUUUUCAUCAAAGUUCAAGCUAAAUUCAGAUUUAAUAAAGUGCAAUUUAAUCUUAUUAUCGUUUUGUAAUAACUAUGGUUUGCAAGGACAAUCAAUUGACCUCGAUAUGAGCUCAGAUUAAAUAGUUAAAUUAUGAUUUUGAAAAUAUUUCCUCAAUACAUAAUAGUUUUCAAAAGUACCAAGAUUAUAGUUUAGUACGCUAGACGCGCGUUUCGUCUACAUAUGACUCAUCAGUGACGCUCAUAUCAAAAUAGUUAUAAAGCCAAACAAGUACAAAGUUGAAGAGCAUUGAGGAUCCAAAGUUCUAAAAAGUAUAUGAAGGACAACAUGAGAAAAUAAUAGUAAAGGUCAAUGGAGCAAUAUAAGUCAAUAAAAUUUAGGAAAUAAUAUAAACUAUUGGAAAUGCAGAAUGUAAGGCGAGGUUUUCAUUUAUACAUGUUAUACUAAAUUACGACGUGUUGAGUGUCAUAAUACUACCAAAUCUAGUUCUGAUAUAUUGUAAAUAUAAGGUAUGUAGCUGUUUCUAAAAUUUCAAUAAAUAAUUUUGUAUGUUUGAUCAUUCCUCUAAAAUCUCAAAAAUGAAUGCAUGCAAUAAUUUGUGAACAUGCUGAAGUGACUGUAAGAUAAAUAUUAAAAAAAAAAUGAUGAACAAUAGUCUGCUUGUAUAUUUGUCACUCAAUUAUAUGGUUGGCAGAAUGAAAUCAUCCAGAAACUGAGAUUGAUUUAGAAAUAAUUUACCUACAUAAACUUAAAGACGUUUACCAUUACUAUAUGAUGGUUUUAAAUGUUUAACGAAAUUAUCUAUAACAACAUCGGACAAUUGUUUUCCUGUACAUGUAUUUAGCUAGUACAACGACAUUUCAAUGACCUUUUCUGUAAUAAGUGUAAACAAUUGUGGGUAAAAGGAAAUACUUCAUUAUUCUAUACGAAUACAUAGCUACACGUGGUUUAUUUUGAUUUAAGAUAUUAGGGAAUAAUGCGUGAAUUUUUUCAAGCAGUCAUGUUUGAAUGCUAUUGAUGUCCUGUAUUUUUACUUUAUGUCAAUAGAUACAAAUCAAACGUAUGAUACGACAAGAUCAACAUGUGAAAUCGACAUUAUUAUUAUUUCUCACGUUGUAGCGAACGAUAUUUUUGUGUAAUAUAGUUAACUAUUAUCAUGAUUAUAAAAAGACGUUUGAUAGGAAAAGAGUAACAUCUUAAUCCAAUACAGUUUAACAAAGUAAAAAACAUAUUUCGAUGAUGUCAAUUAUAUUUUAUCUGGUAUGCAAUCUGAUAUUUCACCAGUCAUUUUGCGAAUCUUCCAGUUGCAAAUGGCCUCAUGCGUUUUUAGGUAUGUACAGCUCUAAUUUAUUUUCAAUUGGUAUAAUUAAUCUAAAAUUGUUAUUUAGUCGACAGUAGCUCAAAUCUCGGAAAUCGAUUAAAAGGAGACAAGAAUAAGCUAACACAAACAUAACAAUAAAUAAACUUAUUGUUGAAAUUAUUUUCCUCUGAUGAUGCACAUGUGCUCUAUUAUAUAUAAUGUCAACCUCAUCAUACAUAUAUAAGCUUGGGAUACAAUGUCAAUACAAAACUUACAAAAUAAGAGUUCCUUUUUUUUCAAAUUAACACUUUGUUUUUAUUUUACUUUAAUUAUUUUUCUCAUAAAGUAUUAAAUUUAUAAUGUAGGCCUUGUCAUAUACUAUAAAACAAACACUUGUGAUCAUUUAUAUAAAGAAAAAUAACUAUAUAACGUAUCAUAAUCUUUUUAGAUGGACGUAAGUCUUUAAACAGAACUAUACUUGAAUGGACAACAUUGGAAACAUUAUUUCCUUUCAUGCGAAAUGGACACUACAAACCAAACUGUAGGCCUAUACAACGAAUAGCUAUCAUUGUACCAUACCGUGAAAGGGAAACUCAGUUAAAAAUAUUCUUUCUAAACGUAGUUCCAUUACUAUAUCGACAACAACUAGAAUUCGAUAUUUAUGUUGUAGAGCAGGU
RNAcentral lists this long non-coding RNA (5916 nucleotides) under Mytilus galloprovincialis (Mediterranean mussel). Lineage: Eukaryota; Metazoa; Mollusca; Bivalvia; Mytilida; Mytilidae. The record is from RNAcentral.